UCCUGGGAUAACACUGACGUUCAUGCCCGAAAGCGUGGGUAGCAAACAGGAUUAGAUACCCUGGUAGUCCACGCCCUAAACGAUGUCGAUUAGCUGUUGGGCAGCAUGACUGCUUAGUAGCGAAGCUAACGCGUGAAAUCGACCGCCUGGGGAGUACGGUCGCAAGAUUAAAACUCAAAGGAAUUGACGGGGACCCGCACAAGCGGUGGAUGAUGUGGAUUAAUUCGAUGCAACGCGAAGAACCUUACCUGGUCUUGACAUGUACGGAACCCUCCAGAGACGGAGGGGUGCCUUCGGGAGCCGUAACACAGGUGCUGCAUGGCUGUCGUCAGCUCGUGUCGUGAGAUGUUGGGUUAAGUCCCGCAACGAGCGCAACCCUUGUCAUUAGUUGCCAUCAUUAAGUUGGGCACUCUAAUGAGACUGCCGGUGACAAGCCGGAAGAAGGUGGGGAUGACGUCAAGUCCUCAUGGCCCUUAUGACCAGGGCUUCACACGUCAUACAAUGGUCGGUACAGAGGGUAGCCAAGCCGCGAGGUGGAGCCAAUCUCACAAAACCGAUCGUAGUCCGGAUUGCACUCUGCAACUCGAGUGCAUGAAGUCGGAAUCGCUAGUAAUCGCAGGUCAGCAUACUGCGGUGAAUACGUUCCCGGGUCUUGUACACACCGCCCGUCACACCAUGGGAGUGGGGGAUACCAGAAGUAGGUAGGGUAACCGCAAGGAGCCCGCUUACCACGGUAUGCUUCAUGACUGGGGUGAAGUCGUAACAAGGUAGCCGUAGGGGAACC
This 784-nucleotide ribosomal RNA is filed under the name uncultured Neisseria sp. Its description in RNAcentral is "bacterial SSU rRNA". It matches the Rfam family "Bacterial small subunit ribosomal RNA", at positions 727 to 1512 of the family's 1533-position model. Lineage: Bacteria; Pseudomonadati; Pseudomonadota; Betaproteobacteria; Neisseriales; Neisseriaceae. The record is from RNAcentral.